UGUGAGCUGACCGGUUCUUGUCAGAGGCGGCUGUGGGUUCAGGCUCACUUGACAGCUCGCUCGACAGCAGAUGCAAUCUGGAUGAGCCAGCGGGAAAUCAGACAGUGAGGGGUGGGAGACACAAGGUCUUCUGUGUUGACUCUUCAGAGCCGCGCCCUCCCUCUGCUACCUUCUUCAACCUGGAACCUUCUUCAACCCGGAAGUGUUCAGCCCAGCCCUCGCCCUCGCCGGAAGUGUCUACCGGUCUUGGAUCUGAGACAGGAAGUGACUCGGGUGAGCUUCUCGAAGGCAUCAACCUUGUCUUGGCCAUCACUCGGUUUCCAGAUCCUGCUGGAGAAUUCAAGAGAUACCUGUUAAUGGAUCAUCUACCCACCCUCUGCCCGUUUUAUGGAGGCAGAAGCUGAAGCCCAGAGAGGAUGCCUGACCUUCUUAAGGUCGCACAGCUCACUGACAGCGGAGUCAGACCCAGGAAUUCAACCUGCUGGACCUUUCUUACGUCUCCCCUUCUUGUGUUUUGGCUUUUCCCUCCAUCUCCGCCCUUGGGGUGUCUCUUCUUUUCAUCAGAUACAAUGAAGAGCCCAAGUAUGGACUGAGGAUAAAGCUGAGGCUCCUCCCUCCGAGAGGGGCAGUGUUGCAGAGUGUUUCCCAUUUCUCGGCUUGCCUCCCACCACGUGUUGACUCACCUGCUUCCCCAGGGAAGGAGUACGGCCACCUUGUGUCAGUAUAAGGAGAAUGCAAUGAAUACCCUUGUGCGUAUCUUCCUGUGGCCCCAACUGAGAAUGUCUUCCGGCUCUGUCACCAGUGAUGGCUUUGCUGAGCUCAGGAGUGUCUGCACACUUAAUUCCACCAAGUCUGGCCAGACUGUUCUCAGAUGGCUGCGUCCUUCACACUCUCUCCAGCUGUGAGUGAGAAUGGCUGUUUCACCACAUUUUUGCCAAGACACAAUACUAUCUUUCCCUUUGACUUUUGCCACUCAAAUGGGGAUAAUGCGGUACUUCAUGGUUAAUUUAAUUUCCGUGUCAGUCGUCACUGGUAAUCUUGA
Long non-coding RNA from Odocoileus virginianus texanus, 1042 nucleotides. RefSeq lists it as uncharacterized. The record is from RefSeq and is a predicted model, not a curated record. NCBI's taxonomy places the organism in Eukaryota, Metazoa, Chordata, Mammalia, Artiodactyla, Cervidae.